AAUGUAUGUAAUUUAUAAGAGAGGUCAUUUUAAUCCUAGCCCUUCAAAGCCUCAGCCAUUCUCUGAAGAGAAGAAAUGGUACACAGAGAGGGGAAAUCCAGGAGAAAUGAUUCAAUUUAAAUGACAGGAAUAUUCACCAACUGCCUAGUGGUGUCAUGGGCUGCCCUGUGAGGUUGGAAAAGGUUGCCCAGACCGUGGAGUAGCAGUCCCAACCUUUUUCAUUAUAAUGACUUUUUGUUCAAAAAAUUGUGGCUCUUUACAUAUUAAUCAUUGAAUAGACACAUGACAAAAAGCUGAUUUGAACUAAGCAAUACUUUUAAAUAACCUUUCAUUGAAUUCCAAUAGUAUCUACUAUUGAGAGCCAUAGCCGAAGGGGCCCCAGCAAACUUCCAGCUGCCAGCUGAUUGGCUCCUCUGUAGUGAUGCCCAUUGGGCUGUUUCCCCACCCUUUCAGACCACGGAGCUGCUCAUUGGGGGAAUCUUUUGGCUCUGCCCACAUGACCCAGCCAAUCAGCCUCAAGAGCAGGAGGAGUGGGGGUUGAGAGGCUUCCCUGAAGCUGGUGGUGGCAGUUGGGCUCUGAGGGAAUUCCUGAAGAGCUUGUGUGGUGGGUGUGUGUUCUAAAAAUAAAGUUCGUUUCUGUUUGACAAGUGGCUCCUGAAUUGUUCCCAGCCAGACUGCGGCAUUCUACCUCCAUUUGCUUAGGAAACAUGUUUACUCCCUCCAAAGACAAUGUUUGAUGCAUCUGUGGGUUUGAGGAUCCUUUGUCGUCAAAAGGAGGUUCAUGGUCCACAGAUUAGGAAAUACAGGUGCAUAAUAAAUGCAUGUGGGGAGUAAGCAAAGGUUAGACUUGACAAACUUUCCAGUCCCAAAACUACAUGAAUUCAGUCAUUCACCUAUAACACAAUGAUGUGCCGGACAUUGUGUUAUUGGGCCUUGUGGUCCAGAUGAGGGUAAAUUCAAGAAAAUUGCUCAGUUUUUCUCUACUUCAGCCCCUGUGUCUUU
This 1002-nucleotide long non-coding RNA is filed under the name Marmota monax (woodchuck). The record is from RNAcentral. Lineage: Eukaryota; Metazoa; Chordata; Mammalia; Rodentia; Sciuridae.